CACUGUUUUAUAUUAAAUGAUCUUUGGACGUAAAACCAAAACAUGUUCAUAUCACUGCAGCAAUAAUUAUUAUUAUUAAUAACGUAUAUUCCGUAUAUCGAACUCAGGAAAUAAACAGUUACGUUCAACGGUUGAAGGACAAUGUAUACAAAAUGUUGAUAUGGAAACAAAGGAUAUCAUAACGCAGAAUUUCAACAAAAUUGAAAGCAAGAUAUCAAUUCGCAACAGUCAAAUCAAAAGACAAAGACAGUAUUUUGAUAGUAUUUUCUAUUAUUAAUAGAAAAUACUAAAACGUAAAAUAGUUGCAGCUUUGCAUUGUGUACGAGGAUAUACUUCAUAUUAAUAAU
Molecule: non-coding RNA, 347 nt
Organism: Nylanderia fulva
Lineage: Eukaryota; Metazoa; Arthropoda; Insecta; Hymenoptera; Formicidae
Source: RefSeq, a predicted model, not a curated record